GACUCGGUUAAUUCAUCUUCAGUGAAUCCUGAAUGUGAUGUGACAUACAGUUCGGUGAAUAAACGUCCCAAGACUAAGGCAGACGACUCAGUUCAUUUAUCUACAGUGAAUCCUGAAAGUGAUGUGACGUACAGUUGUGUGAUUAAACUUCCCAAGACUAAAGCAUGUGAACCAGCAGAUGUAGAUGAAAAUGGGAUCUACAGCUCUGUGUGGAAAUAGGUGUUUGAUCUGGAUUGAAUACAUGGACAAAAUAUAAACACAUUGAUGCAAAACACCAAAACAAACAGUUGUUUUGAUAAGAUAUGACAUUAUCAAGUUAUUCUAGCUUUUGACACACCCACCUCUAUAUUUACAAUUCAGUCUGAAUAUAUUUUGUUUGUUUUAUCAACCCCUAGGGCUUAACUUAGCUCCCUUCUCUUUACAUGACAUUAUUUCUAUGCUCGCUAGUCCGGUUUAAUCUUGGCUGCUGUACUCUGCUGCUUAUGUUGUCCAUCGAUUUUUCCGUGUUUUCUCCUGCAUGUACUAAUGUAAAGCUGCCUUGAAACAAUUAAACAAUUGUGAAAAGCGCUAUAUAAAUAAAGAAAUUGAAUGAAUAUAUGCAAACAUAUAAAGAAUGUGCCUAAAUGUGUCUUAAUUAAAUAAAUUAAUUAAAUGUGUUUGUAUUUCAAUAAUUUCAUCAGUUGAUUUAUAUAAGCAUAUUCAGAAACAAGCAUGUUGGUGUUUGUAAAAUAACUAAGGUUGUAAUGUACUUGCCUUUAAGUGUAAACGUCAAAAGAAACUUCAUAACAAGAAAAAAUUGCUUCUGAAUAUGUCUUAUCACUUUCUGUUUAACAUUUUGCAUCAUGUAAUUUUCCCAUUACUGAUUUCUGUAUUAUUCUCUUAAAGCAAAAUGUAAAGCUGUUUUAUUUGUAAAUUGCUUUGGAUUAAAUUAUUAACUUGGAAUGUGAAGGGCAUAGGCCAUGUAAUUAAAAGGAAAGAAAAAAAUCCUUAAAAACGUCUUGUGGAAUGUCCCCUUUAAACAUGCAAUUUAAGAGUUUUCUGUCCACUCCCAAUAAAAACAGAAUGUUGUGCUUUUCGCAAAAUUAAGAAAAUAAACAUGAUGCGCGUUUUGUUCUCUCUCCCUCAGUGAAGUCCUUUCAAAUAUGCGUCAGAAAAAUUAACUGUAACUUAACGAAUACAUGUCAUAGAAACAAAAGGUAAAUGUCUACAU
Non-coding RNA from Misgurnus anguillicaudatus (oriental weatherfish), 1210 nucleotides. Lineage: Eukaryota; Metazoa; Chordata; Actinopteri; Cypriniformes; Cobitidae. The record is from RefSeq and is a predicted model, not a curated record.